CCCUUAGAUGUUCGGGGCCGCACGCGCGCUACACUGAAGGAAUCAGCACGUCUUUCUCCUUGUCCGAAAGGACUGGGUAACCCGCUGAACCUCCUUCGUGCUAGGGAUUGGGGCUUGUAAUUCUUCCCCAUGAACGAGGAAUUCCCAGUAAGCGCGAGUCAUAAGCUCGCGUUGAUUACGUCCCUGCCCUUUGUACACACCGCCCGUCGCUACUACCGAGUGGAUGGUUUAGUGAGAUCCUCGGAUUGGUCCCGGAGCGGCCUCUGGUCGUGCCGGAGUGCCGAAAAGAAUGUCGAACUUGAUCAUCUAGAGGAAGUAAAAGUCGUAACA
This 330-nucleotide ribosomal RNA is filed under the name uncultured eukaryote. RNAcentral describes it as "partial 18S ribosomal RNA". It matches the Rfam family "Eukaryotic small subunit ribosomal RNA", at positions 1470 to 1796 of the family's 1831-position model. The record is from RNAcentral.